AUGCUAUAUUGUGACGUCACCAUUCUAUAUUGUGACGUCACCAUUCCCCAUUGUGAUGUCUCCAUUCUAUAUUGUGAUGUCAAAAUUCCCAAUUGUGAUGUCACCAUUAUAUAUUGUGAGGUCACCAUUCCCCAUUUUGAAGUCACCAUCCCCCAUAGUGAUGUCACCAUUCUAAAUUGUGACGUCACCAUCCUAUAUUGUGAAGUCAACAUUCCCCAUUGUGAGGUCACCAUUCAAUAUUGUGACGCCACCAUUCCCCAUUGUGAUGUCACCAUUCCCGAUUUUUACGUCACCAUUCUAUAUUGUGACGGCACCAUUCUGUAUUGUGACCUCAUCAUUCCACAUUGUGAUGUCACCAUUCAAUAUUGUGAUGUCACCAUUCUACAUUGUGACGUCACCAUUCUAUAUUUUGAUGUCACCAUUCUAUAUUGUGACGUCACCAUUCUGCAUUGUGACGUCAGCAUACUACAUUGUGACGUCACCAUUCCCCAUUUUGACGUCACCAUUCCCCAUUAUGACGUCAUCAUUCUACAUUGUGAUGUCAUCAUUCUACAUUGUGACAUCACCAUUCUACAUUGUGAUGUCACCAUUCUACAUUGUGACGCCACCGUUCUAUAUUGUGACGUCACCAUUCUACAUUGUGACGUCACCAUUCUACAUUGUGAUGUCAUCAUUCUACAUUGUGACGUCACCAUUCUACAUUGUGACCUCACCAUUCUAUAUUUUUACGUCAACAUUCUAUAUUGUGACUUCACUAUUCUAUUAUGUGACGUCGCCAUUCUACAUUUUGUCGUCACCAUUCUAUAUUGUUACAUCAACAUUCUACAUUGUGAUGUCACAAUUAUACUAUUUAAGGUCAAAAUUCCACAUUGUUACGUCACAAUUCCACAUUGUGAUGUCACCUUUCCACAUUCUGACGUCAUCAUUCUACAUUGUGACGUCACCAAUCUUCAUUGUGACGUCACCAUUCUACAUUGUGAACUCAGCAUUCUAUAUUGUGACGUUACCAUUCCCCAUUUUGACGUCACCAUUCCCCAUUAUGAAGUCAUCAUUCUAUAUUGUGUUGUCAUCAUUCUGCAUUGUGACGUCAGCAUUCUACAUGGUGAUGUCACCAUUCCCCAUUGUGACGUCAUCACUCUACAUUGUGAUGUCAUCAUUCUAUAUUGUGACCUCAGCAUUCCCAUUCUGAUGUCACCAUUCGACAAUGUGACGCCACCUUUCUAUACUGUGACGUCACCAUUCUACAUUGUGAUGUCACCAUUCUAUAUUGUGACGUCACCACUCUGUAAUGUGGCAUCACCAUUCUACAUUGUGAUGACAUCAUUCUACAUUGUGACGUCACCAUUCUAUAUUGUGACGUCAUCAUUAUACAUUAUGAUGUCACCAUUCUACGUUGUGACGUCACCAUUCUACAUUGUGACGUCGCCACUCUACAUUGUGAAGUCACCAUUCUAUAUUGUGAAGUCACCAAUCCCCAUUGUCAUGUCACCAUUCUACAUUGUGAUGUCACCAUUCCCCAUUGUGAUGUCACCAUUCCCCAUUGUGAUGUCACCAUUCUAUAUUGUGAUGACAUCAUUCCCCAUUCUGACGUCACCAUUCGACCUUGUGACAUCACAUUAUACAAUUUGA
RNAcentral lists this long non-coding RNA (1629 nucleotides) under Numida meleagris (helmeted guineafowl). RNAcentral's name for it is "lncRNA (ENSNMEG00000013655.1)". The record is from RNAcentral. Lineage: Eukaryota; Metazoa; Chordata; Aves; Galliformes; Numididae.